GGGUUGUGAGGUUAAGCGACUAAGCGUACACGGUGGAUGCCCUGGCAGUCAGAGGCGAUGAAGGACGUGCUAAUCUGCGAAAAGCGUCGGUAAGGUGAUAUGAACCGUUAUAACCGGCGAUGUCCGAAUGGGGAAACCCAGUGC
Molecule: ribosomal RNA, 144 nt
Filed under: Klebsiella pneumoniae
Lineage: Bacteria; Pseudomonadati; Pseudomonadota; Gammaproteobacteria; Enterobacterales; Enterobacteriaceae
Also listed under: 1 other name
Description: partial 23S ribosomal RNA
Rfam family: Bacterial large subunit ribosomal RNA
Source: RNAcentral